This is a non-coding RNA of Danio rerio (zebrafish), 243 nucleotides long. Lineage: Eukaryota; Metazoa; Chordata; Actinopteri; Cypriniformes; Danionidae. The record is from Ensembl.
ACCAUUUUAAGGAAUGUAUACAAUAACAAUGGUCCUAAUGUAGUUCCUGUUUUACAUUUUUAAUUUCCAUAGCUUCCGAGAAUCCAAAAAGGUCCACAUAUUAAUAAAUAACAUUAAUUGAGCUGUUUUAACGUGAAAAUAUGAUUGAAUUGCCACUUGUUACAGUUAUGAUAUAUAUGAUAACAUCAGGAAUUGUUUAAGGGCCAAUGGCAUGACCAUGUUGCAAUAGUCUAUAUAUGUAAU